RNAcentral lists this ribosomal RNA (503 nucleotides) under uncultured bacterium. RNAcentral describes it as "partial 16S ribosomal RNA". It matches the Rfam family "Bacterial small subunit ribosomal RNA", at positions 30 to 523 of the family's 1533-position model. The record is from RNAcentral.
AUUGAACGCUGGCGGCAGGCUUAACACAUGCAAGUCGAGCGGGGUGAUGGUGCUUGCACUAUCACUUAGCGGCGGACGGGUGAGUAAUGCUUAGGAAUCUGCCUAGUAGUGGGGGACAACAUCUCGAAAGGGAUGCUAAUACCGCAUACGUCCUACGGGAGAAAGCAGGGGAUCACUUGUGACCUCGCGCUAAUAGAUGAGCCUAUGUCGGAUUAGCUAGUUGGUGGGGUAAAGGCCUACCAAGGCGACGAUCUGUAGCGGGUCUGAGAGGAUGAUCCGCCACACUGGGACUGAGACACGGCCCAGACUCCUACGGGAGGCAGCAGUGGGGAAUAUUGGACAAUGGGGGGAACCCUGAUCCAGCCAUGCCGCGUGUGUGAAGAAGGCCUUAUGGUUGUAAAGCACUUUAAGCGAGGAGGAGGCUCUUUUGGUUAAUACCCAAGAUGAGUGGACGUUACUCGCAGAAUAAGCACCGGCUAACUCUGUGCCAGCCGCCGCCGUAA